GGCGGGAUAGCUUAGUUGGUUAGAGCGCUCGGUUCAUACCCGGGAGGUCGUGAGUUCGAAUCUCACUCCCGCUACCA
This 77-nucleotide transfer RNA is filed under the name Bacillota bacterium. RNAcentral's name for it is "tRNA-Met". It matches the Rfam family "tRNA". Rfam says of the family: Transfer RNA (tRNA) molecules are approximately 80 nucleotides in length. Their secondary structure includes four short double-helical elements and three loops (D, anti-codon, and T loops). RNAcentral also lists the same sequence under 1 other name. The record is from RNAcentral. Lineage: Bacteria; Bacillati; Bacillota.